UACGGAAGGCAGCAGUGGGGAAUAUUGCACAAUGGGCGCAAGCCUGAUGCAGCCAUGCCGCGUGUAUGAAGAAGGCCUUCGGGUUGUAAAGUACUUUCAGUCGUGAGGAAGGUGUUAAGGUUAAUAACCUUAGCAAUUGACGUUAGCGACAGAAGAAGCACCGGCUAACUCCGUGCCAGCAGCCGCGGUAAUACGGAGGGUGCGAGCGUUAAUCGGAAUUACUGGGCGUAAAGGGCACGCAGGCGGUUAAUUAAGUUGGAUGUGAAAUCCCCGGGCUUAACCUGGGAAUGGCAUUCAAGACUGGUUAGCUAGAGUCUUGUAGAGGGGGUAGAAUUCCGAUGUGUAGCGGUGAAAUGCGUAGAGAUGUGGAGGAAUACCGGUGGCGAAGGCGGCCCCUGGACAAAGACUGACGCUCAUGUGCGAAAGCGUGGGGAGCAAACAGGGAUUUAGAUACC
RNAcentral lists this ribosomal RNA (455 nucleotides) under uncultured bacterium. Its description in RNAcentral is "bacterial SSU rRNA". It matches the Rfam family "Bacterial small subunit ribosomal RNA", at positions 340 to 786 of the family's 1533-position model. The record is from RNAcentral.